Molecule: ribosomal RNA, 312 nt
Filed under: Triticum aestivum (bread wheat)
Lineage: Eukaryota; Viridiplantae; Streptophyta; Magnoliopsida; Poales; Poaceae
Description: partial small subunit ribosomal RNA
Source: RNAcentral
AUGACUGACGACACAUGCGGUUUCAUGAGUUGGAACGUGAGAGGGCUCAACUCACCGGCGAGGAGAGCCAUGGUUAUUGAGCUAGUUAGUGCCAUGCUCCCGGCGAUCCUCUGCCUGCAGGAGACAAAGAUCGACACUUGGUCCCCCAGCUUGGUGUGUGACAUUGGUGGGCGCGCUCUGGACGGCUGCGUUGUCCUACCGGCGAUCGGCACCUGCGGUGGUGCGGCCAUCUUCUGGGAUUCCACCAUCGCCAGCAUUGCCACGCAUAGCAUUGGGCUCUUCUCCAUCACGGCGAUCGUCACGCUGCUGCGC